UGCUAUAUAAGAUUCUUGAUUUUAUUUGAUGAAGGCAUCCCUACCGGUCCCAGAUGUGUUUCUAUUUCCUUGUAUUCCGAGUGCUAGCAAAAAAGAGGAGGCUUAUCUUUUGAUUGUUGAAUGUCAAGAUUAGGUCAGGGGUGUAUCUUUUGCACGAAAGAAGGAUUCCCCAUCCUUCAUGUGAAUCCACCAUUGGAUCACCCAGCACAG
RNAcentral lists this long non-coding RNA (210 nucleotides) under Elaeis guineensis (African oil palm). Its description in RNAcentral is "long non-coding RNA (EGUI_LNC073752)". Lineage: Eukaryota; Viridiplantae; Streptophyta; Magnoliopsida; Arecales; Arecaceae. The record is from RNAcentral.